RNAcentral lists this ribosomal RNA (305 nucleotides) under uncultured bacterium. RNAcentral describes it as "bacterial SSU rRNA". It matches the Rfam family "Bacterial small subunit ribosomal RNA", at positions 337 to 656 of the family's 1533-position model. The record is from RNAcentral.
CCCUACGGGAGGCAGCAGCGGGGAAUAUUGGGCAAUGGGCGCAAGCCUGACCCAGCAACGCCGCGUGAAGGAAGAAGGCUUUCGGGUUGUAAACUUCUUUUAUGGGGGACGAAACAAAUGACGGUACCUCAUGAAUAAGCCACGGCUAACUACGUGCCAGCAGCCGCGGUAAUACGUAGGUGGCAAGCGUUAUCCGGAUUUACUGGGUGUAAAGGGCGUGUAGGCGGGACUGCAAGUCAGAUGUGAAAAUUAUGGGCUCAACCCAUAACCUGCAUUUGAAACUGUAGUUCUUGAGUGAUGGAGAG